RNAcentral lists this ribosomal RNA (253 nucleotides) under uncultured bacterium. Its description in RNAcentral is "partial 16S ribosomal RNA". It matches the Rfam family "Bacterial small subunit ribosomal RNA", at positions 524 to 776 of the family's 1533-position model. The record is from RNAcentral.
UACGAAGGGUGCAAGCGUUACUCGGAAUUACUGGGCGUAAAGCGUGCGUAGGCGGUUUGUUAAGUCUGUCGUGAAAGCCCUGGGCUCAACCUGGGAAUUGCGAUGGAUACUGGCAAGCUAGAGUACGGUAGAGGAUGGUGGAAUUCCCGGUGUAGCGGUGAAAUGCGUAGAGAUCGGGAGGAACACCCGUGGCGAAGGCGGCCAUCUGGACCAGUACUGACGCUCAUGCACGAAAGCGUGGGGAGCAAACAGG